This 86-nucleotide transfer RNA is filed under the name Chloroflexota bacterium. RNAcentral describes it as "tRNA-Leu". It matches the Rfam family "tRNA". From Rfam's summary of the family: Transfer RNA (tRNA) molecules are approximately 80 nucleotides in length. Their secondary structure includes four short double-helical elements and three loops (D, anti-codon, and T loops). The record is from RNAcentral. Lineage: Bacteria; Bacillati; Chloroflexota.
GCGGCGGUGGCGAAACGGGAAACGCGGCAGUCUCAAACACUGUUGUCCGCAAGGACUUGUGGGUUCGAUUCCCACCCGCCGCACCA